RNAcentral lists this ribosomal RNA (502 nucleotides) under uncultured bacterium. Its description in RNAcentral is "partial 16S ribosomal RNA". It matches the Rfam family "Bacterial small subunit ribosomal RNA", at positions 30 to 523 of the family's 1533-position model. The record is from RNAcentral.
AUUGAACGCUGGCGGAAUGCUUUACACAUGCAAGUCGAACGGCAGCACGGGUGCUUGCACCUGGUGGCGAGUGGCGAACGGGUGAGUAACAUAUCGGAACGUACCCAGUAAUGGGGGAUAACUAACCGAAAGGUUAGCUAAUACCGCAUACGCCCUGAGGGGGAAAGCGGGGGAUCGAAAGACCUCGCGUUAUUGGAGCGGCCGAUAUCUGAUUAGCUAGUUGGUGAGGUAAAGGCUCACCAAGGCGACGAUCAGUAGCAGGUCUGAGAGGAUGAUCUGCCACACUGGAACUGAGACACGGUCCAGACUCCUACGGGAGGCAGCAGUGGGGAAUUUUGGACAAUGGGGGAAACCCUGAUCCAGCCAUUCCGCGUGAGUGAAGAAGGCCUUCGGGUUGUAAAGCUCUUUCGGCAGGGAAGAAACGGUUCUGGAUAAUACCCGGAGCUAAUGACGGUACCUGAGGAAGAAGCACCGGCUAACUACGUGCCAGCCGCCGCAGUAA